GCUGCUAUGGCCAAAUGGUUAAGGCGCCUCUUUAGUAAGGAGGAGAUUCCUGGUUCGAUUCCAGGUAGCAGCA
RNAcentral lists this transfer RNA (73 nucleotides) under Dunaliella salina. RNAcentral's name for it is "tRNA-Thr". It matches the Rfam family "tRNA". Rfam says of the family: Transfer RNA (tRNA) molecules are approximately 80 nucleotides in length. Their secondary structure includes four short double-helical elements and three loops (D, anti-codon, and T loops). Lineage: Eukaryota; Viridiplantae; Chlorophyta; Chlorophyceae; Chlamydomonadales; Dunaliellaceae. The record is from RNAcentral. RNAcentral also lists the same sequence under 1 other name.